Molecule: ribosomal RNA, 253 nt
Filed under: uncultured bacterium
Lineage: Bacteria
Description: partial 16S ribosomal RNA
Rfam family: Bacterial small subunit ribosomal RNA
Source: RNAcentral
UACGUAGGCAGCGAGCGUUGUUCGGAGUUACUGGGCGUAAAGGGUGUGUAGGCGGUUCUUUAAGUUUGCUGUGAAAUCUCCCGGCUUAACCGGGAGGGUGCGGUGAAUACUGAGGGACUAGAGUACGGGAGAGGAAAGUGGAAUUCCUGGUGUAGCGGUGAAAUGCGUAGAUAUCAGGAGGAACACCGGUGGUGUAGACGGCUUUCUGGACCGUAACUGACGCUGAGACACGAAAGCGUGGGUAGCAAACAGG